This is a long non-coding RNA of Clupea harengus (Atlantic herring), 1376 nucleotides long. The record is from Ensembl. Lineage: Eukaryota; Metazoa; Chordata; Actinopteri; Clupeiformes; Clupeidae.
AAAGCUGCCCCCGCACCGCGAGCGCUUCGAAGGUCCCGCCAUCCAUAAUUAGGCCUGUCCGCCCCCUCAGAGGCCAAAGAGACAGAGAGAAAGAGUGCGAGAGAGAAGAUUAAACAGUCCCACAGACAAACAUUAACCCAGAGCCUGACCCCACCGUCUGUCAAACGAAGCCCAGAGAGAGAAAAAAACGAGAGAGAGGGAGGGAGGGAGAGAGAGAGAGAAAAAGAAAACACAUUCCAUUUCCCGUAAAGCGGGAAAGGGGGAGGGGCAGGGGGAUUUUGGGAAGCACGGUGAGUCAUCACUUUUUCUUUUUCGGAUGGCGUCCCCCCCCCACACCACCAUCCUCUCUCUCUUUCUCUCUCUCUCUCUCUGGUCCAGAGACUUUGAAUAGCUCCAGGACAGCAGUUCUGCCCAGUCAUGCUUCUAGACUGGCUGUAUCAGAUUAUAACAGGCGGCUCUCGGCCACCACACUACCACUAUCAGCACUUCAGCUGCCAUCCUGGCUAACGCUGUGCCGCCACUGCCUACCUCCUGGCUCUCUUUGAAGUGCAACCGGCUGGAGAGAGUGAGAGAGAGAGAGACAGAGAGAGAGAGAGAGAGAGGGACAAACUCAUCCUUUAACUUUGAAACUCAAUGAGGCCGUCAGCACCUGCCAGGCCUGUGGGCUUUGAUCUGACAGCCAGUAAUCUGCACUAACAGGUAGUAUUAAAUACCUCAUUAACCACACAGGCACGAUGGCCCCAAACCCAACGCAACUUUACCAGAGACGACCGCGCUUCUAGAUCACAGAGCAGAUGCCGCCAUGAAACAUGUCUUGUCAUAAUCCAACACUAGGAAUCUUUUUCUUUUUUUUUUUUACUCCAGCACAUAUAAAAAGUUCCCAUGACAGAUGAAAUUUUUCUGGGUCCAUUUUUUUUCCUAGAGAUCUUUCAUACUGACGUCUCAUUGUGCAUUUAUAGAACCUCUACCACUGUCAUCAGGCCUACUUCUGGACAGGCGGUAUUGUUUACUGCCUAUGUGUGGCCGCGGAGCCCCAUUCAUUUGUCUGACUGGUAAACAGCCCUGUGGUCUCGGGGAGGGCUGGGUGCCUGGGCCCAUGCAGAAACCACACCGCAUGCAGCCACCAAUUAGGGGGGCCAUAGCGUGCUUCUGUGAAGCCCUCUAGUGCCCUGGUGCACUGCUCAUGAGCGUGGGGAUGCUUAUCACACACUAAUAAUAACACACACCACAAGCAUGAUGUCAUCGCCUGCAACACAUCAACACACACACGCGCGCACACACACACACGCGCACACACACAUACAGUGACAUACGCUCACACCCCACUCUUACCUCACCUCUAACCUCGCCUCCUCAUGUUUGUAACUGCCUCUCAC